This 77-nucleotide transfer RNA is filed under the name Thermococcus sp. MV5. RNAcentral describes it as "tRNA-Ala". It matches the Rfam family "tRNA". From Rfam's summary of the family: Transfer RNA (tRNA) molecules are approximately 80 nucleotides in length. Their secondary structure includes four short double-helical elements and three loops (D, anti-codon, and T loops). Further hydrogen bonds mediate the characteristic L-shaped molecular structure. tRNAs have two regions of fundamental functional importance: the anti-codon, which is responsible for specific mRNA codon recognition, and the 3' end, to which the tRNAs corresponding amino acid is attached (by aminoacyl-tRNA synthetases). tRNAs cope with the degeneracy of the genetic code in two manners: having more than one tRNA (with a specific anti-codon) for a particular amino acid; and 'wobble' base-pairing, i.e. permitting non-standard base-pairing at the 3rd anti-codon position. Lineage: Archaea; Methanobacteriati; Methanobacteriota; Thermococci; Thermococcales; Thermococcaceae. The record is from RNAcentral.
GGGCCGGUAGCUCAGUUUGGGAGAGCGUUGGCUUCGCAAGCCAAAGGCCGCGGGUUCAAAUCCCGCCCGGUCCACCA